CUUCACGCGGAGGUGUGUUGCCUAGGAGCUGGGUUGUCUUCACCGCAGAGCAGAGUCUUCUAACCUCCAUCUCCUGCUGCGUCCUGUGUGCUGCUGGCUGGAGAAGGGUUCAAGGCUGCAAUGAGCUAUGAUUCUACCACAGCACUCCAGCCUGCGAGACUGAGCAAAGGAAGAAUGGUGUGCCAGAAUCACCAAAUUAAGAAAGACAGUGAAUCAGCUUUUCUGCAAAAAAAUUUGGAACAACGUGUCAUACAGUGUUUGAUCUCAUUUCAAGAUAAAUGAGUUGUGAAAUCUGAAUCCAUAUCCUGGAAUCUUUUAGUUUCUUCAGUAAUUCCCAGUGAUGCCAAACUUAAAUAUUUUGAAAGAAGG
RNAcentral lists this long non-coding RNA (369 nucleotides) under Callithrix jacchus (white-tufted-ear marmoset). Its description in RNAcentral is "lncRNA (ENSCJAG00000057214.2)". The record is from RNAcentral. Lineage: Eukaryota; Metazoa; Chordata; Mammalia; Primates; Cebidae.